Molecule: long non-coding RNA, 831 nt
Filed under: Struthio camelus australis
Lineage: Eukaryota; Metazoa; Chordata; Aves; Struthioniformes; Struthionidae
Description: lncRNA (ENSSCUG00000000297.1)
Source: RNAcentral
CUAAGAGGUUUGGCGAGAGGAAUGCUUACUUGUAUCUGAUAAGCUGCAUAGAAAUUCCUCUGUUGCUCAGUUGAACGGCAUCAGGUAGCACUCAGGCCAAUGGAUUUGACCUCCAGAAAUUGCACGAUUGUCUAAAAAAACAGGAGAUGAUUAUUACCAUCAUUAUUAAUAUUUCAUGACCCUGAAAGGCAGGUGCUGAGUCUUUUCUGAAAAGCUCUGCUAGGCUUCCAACAGCUUUCGAGAUGAACUGGGUUGGCGAUUGGGCGAUUUGUCAUUUGUCGAAGAUCCCGGGCUGAGCAGGGAGUGUGGCACGACAUUGGCCAUCACUAGCAACUUGGCACCCUCCUAGUUGGUGCAUCUGGAGGACUGUUUGCGCAGCACGAUGCUGAGCCUAAGCAUAGCGUCGGACCUGGAUUUAUGAGUUGCCCCUCGGCGUAAGGAGCUAUGCGGCUCUGAGGAUUGAGCGAGCCGGAGCAGCUCUCCAGCCCCGCCUGCAGCAGUGUGGACAGGAGCUAAGAUGAAGGAGGUAGCAUGUCUGGAGGAACGUUGCUGGCUGAUCUCUUAGGUCAGGGGAAAAGUGUGACUUUGCCAAAUUCGCAAAGCGCCGCGGACGUGGCUGGCCUGGCAAUGACUCAGGGGUGAGUAGCUGCAAGAACCUCCAAGGCCAGACUUUGGAGGCGUUUUGCUAUCUAAAGAAAGCAGUAAGGUGUUAAAUGCUGAAGAGCUUUAAAAACCUAUGUGCCGGUCUUCCUUACCAGCACCUGUGGCUGCUGGGGAGUGUGUAAGUUUGAAGGGAUUCAAUCAGUCACAAGUGGAUAAUUUUGUGUUUUC